RNAcentral lists this ribosomal RNA (538 nucleotides) under uncultured bacterium. RNAcentral describes it as "bacterial SSU rRNA". It matches the Rfam family "Bacterial small subunit ribosomal RNA", at positions 777 to 1314 of the family's 1533-position model. The record is from RNAcentral.
AAUAGAUACCCGGGUAGUCCACGCCGUAAACGAUGAGUGCUAAGUGUUAGAGGGUUUCCGCCCUUUAGUGCUGAAGUUAACGCAUUAAGCACUCCGCCUGGGGAGUACGGCCGCAAGGCUGAAACUCAAAGGAAUUGACGGGGGCCCGCACAGGCGGUGGAGCAUGUGGUUUAAUUCGAAGCAACGCGAAGAACCUUACCAGGUCUUGACAUCCUCUGAAAACCCUAGAGAUAGGGCUUCUCCUUCGGGAGCAGAGUGACAGGUGGUGCAUGGUUGUCGUCAGCUCGUGUCGUGAGAUGUUGGGUUAAGUCCCGCAACGAGCGCAACCCUUGAUCUUAGUUGCCAUCAUUAAGUUGGGCACUCUAAGGUGACUGCCGGUGACAAACCGGAGGAAGGUGGGGAUGACGUCAAAUCAUCAUGCCCCUUAUGACCUGGGCUACACACGUGCUACAAUGGACGGUACAAAGAGCUGCAAGACCGCGAGGUGGAGCUAAUCUCAUAAAACCGUUCUCAGUUCGGAUUGUAGGCUGCAACUCCG